AUACGUAGGGGGCGAGCGUUGUCCGGAAUUACUGGGCGUAAAGCGCGGGCAGGCGGUGGUCCAAGUCGGACGUGAAAGCUCCCGGCUCAACUGGGAGAGGUCGUUCGAAACUGGGCCGCUAGAGGGCAGUAGAGGGGCGUGGAAUUCCGGGUGGAGUGGUGAAAUGCGUAGAGAUCCGGAGGAACACCAGAGGCGAAGGCGGCGCCCUGGGCUGCACCUGACGCUGAGCCGCGAAAGCUAGGGGAGCGAACGGGAUUAGAAACCCCGGUAGUCCUAGCCGUAAACGAUGUCCACUAGAUGUCUGGGCGGAGCGCCUGGGCGUCGCAGCUAACGCGUUAAGUGGACCGCCUGGGGAGUACGGCCGCAAGGCUAAA
This 374-nucleotide ribosomal RNA is filed under the name uncultured bacterium. Its description in RNAcentral is "bacterial SSU rRNA". It matches the Rfam family "Bacterial small subunit ribosomal RNA", at positions 523 to 898 of the family's 1533-position model. The record is from RNAcentral.